Molecule: ribosomal RNA, 480 nt
Filed under: uncultured soil bacterium
Lineage: Bacteria
Description: bacterial SSU rRNA
Rfam family: Bacterial small subunit ribosomal RNA
Source: RNAcentral
AGAUUGAACGCUGGCGGCAUGCUUUACACAUGCAUGUCGAACGGUAGAGUAGCAAUACUUGAGAGUGGCGAACGGGUGAGUAAUAUAUCGGAACGUGCCCAGUCGUGGGGGAUAACGUAGAGAAAUUUACGCUAAUACCGCAUACGAUCUAAGGAUGAAAGCGGGGGACCGUAAGGCCUCGCGCGAUUGGAGCGGCUGAUAUCAGAUUAGCUAGUUGGUAGGGGUAAAAGCCUACCAAGGCGACGAUCUGUAGCUGGUCUGAGAGGACGACCAGCCACACUGGAACUGAGACACGGUCCAGACUCCUACGGGAGGCAGCAGUGGGGAAUUUUGGACAAUGGGCGCAAGCCUGAUCCAGCAAUGCCGCGUGCAGGAUGAAGGCCUUGGUUGUAAACGUGUCCUUGUACGGAACGUAACGGUUCGCCGUUAAGUACGGUGGCUAAGUGACGGUACGUAAGAAUAAGCACGGACUAACUACGU